This is a non-coding RNA of Caenorhabditis elegans, 129 nucleotides long. The record is from Ensembl. Lineage: Eukaryota; Metazoa; Nematoda; Chromadorea; Rhabditida; Rhabditidae.
CAGGGCGUCGUGGCGGGCGUCUGUAACCUAGCCGGGGGCUGUAUUCAGGGGGAGUUGACAUCAAACCCUGUCUUUCUUUCAUGAUGUCAUUACUAAACAAACUAAAUUUUCUUAAGUGGAGCUUAACUC